AGCUAAGGUCCCAAAGUCAUGGUUAAGUGGGAAACGAUGUGGGAAGGCACAGACAGCCAGGAUGUUGGCUUAGAAGCAGCCAUCAUUUAAAGAAAGCGUAAUAGCUCACUGGUCGAGUCGGCCUGCGCGGAAGAUGUAACGGGGCUAAACCAUGCACCGAAGCUGCGGCAGCGACACUAUGUGUUGUUGGGUAGGGGAGCGUUCUGUAAGCCUGCGAAGGUGUGCUGUGAGGCAUGCUGGAGGUAUCAGAAGUGCGAAUGCUGACAUAAGUAACGAUAAAGCGGGUGAAAAGCCCGCUCGCCGGAAGACCAAGGGUUCCUGUCCAACGUUAAUCGGGGCAGGGUGAGUCGACCCCUAAGGCGAGGCCGAAAGGCGUAGUCGAUGGGAAACAGGUUAAUAUUCCUGUACUUGGUGUUACUGCGAAGGGGGGACGGAGAAGGCUAUGUUAGCCGGGCGACGGUUGUCCCGGUUUAAGCAUGUAGGCUGAUUGUCCAGGCAAAUCCGGAUAAUCAAGGCUGAGGUGUGAUGACGAGGCACUACGGUGCUGAAGUAACAAAUGCCCUGCUUCCAGGAAAAG
This 577-nucleotide ribosomal RNA is filed under the name Klebsiella pneumoniae subsp. pneumoniae. RNAcentral describes it as "partial 23S ribosomal RNA". It matches the Rfam family "Bacterial large subunit ribosomal RNA", at positions 1037 to 1617 of the family's 2925-position model. Lineage: Bacteria; Pseudomonadati; Pseudomonadota; Gammaproteobacteria; Enterobacterales; Enterobacteriaceae. The record is from RNAcentral.